This 508-nucleotide ribosomal RNA is filed under the name uncultured bacterium. RNAcentral's name for it is "partial 16S ribosomal RNA". It matches the Rfam family "Bacterial small subunit ribosomal RNA", at positions 28 to 507 of the family's 1533-position model. The record is from RNAcentral.
GACGAACGCUGGCGGCGUGCCUAAUACAUGCAAGUCGAGCGCAGGAAGUCAUCCGAACCCUUCGGGGGGACGUUGACGGAAUGAGCGGCGGACGGGUGAGUAACACGUAAAGAACCUGCCCUCAGGUCUGGGAUAACCACGAGAAAUCGGGGCUAAUACCGGAUGGGUCAUCGGACCGCAUGGUCCGAGGAUGAAAGGCGCUCCGGCGUCGCCUGGGGAUGGCUUUGCGGUGCAUUAGCUAGGUGGUGGGGUAAUGGCCCACCAAGGCGACGAUGCAUAGCCGACCUGAGAGGGUGAUCGGCCACACUGGGACUGAGACACGGCCCAGACUCCUACGGGAGGCAGCAGUAGGGAAUCUUCCACAAUGGACGAAAGUCUGAUGGAGCAACGCCGCGUGAACGAUGAAGGCCCUCGGGUCGUAAAGUUCUGUUGUAAGGGAAGAACAAGUGCCGCAGGCAAUGGCGGCACCUUGACGGUACCUUGCGAGAAAGCCACGGCUAACUGCGUG